CUGUGUGAAUGCAAGUGUGAACACCUGCUUAAUUUAAGCAUAUAAGUAGGCGGAGGAAAUGACACAAACAUGGAUUCACUGAGUAACUGCGAGUGACAUGUGAUUUGCUCACAGCUGAUAUUCUUUGCUGUCUGCUUUGACAUGAGGACUUUGAGUGCGGUGCCAAUGGUGGUGUAAGUGUGAGCCAUCUUGGAAAAGAGGAGAGUGUGCACUGACAAGGGUGAGAAGCCUGUGUGUGCUUGCAAAAUCUCCAUAUGGGGGUCACGCUUUGAGAAUCAUGCUCUUUGGAAGUGGAGUGUAAAGUGGGUGGUAGACUCUUCUCAAAGCUGAGUACAGAACUGGGACCGACAGGGAAGAAGUACCAUGAGGGAAGUGUGAAAAGGACUUUGGAAAGAGACUUAAAAGAGCCUGUACUUGCUGAAGGAUAUGCAUACAGCAUGCUUGCAUGUGAGAUGAUUGCUGUGUGUAUGAGUCUGACUUUGGCUGGAUGGCCAUGGCCGUGUGCCAUGGACACUUGGCCACCCAAUGUGUAUCCUCUUGUGUGUGCCAGCAUGUGGGAGACAGUCAGUGUUUGAGUGCAGUGGUUGCUGUGUCUGGGGAUACAUCAGAUGUGCACUCAAAGAUCUGAGCAUGUUGAGAAGCAGGUGCAGAAGGGCCCUCCUGUCUGUAUGACCCGUCUUGAAACACGGACCAAGGAGUCUAGCAUGAGUGCAAGCAUAUGGGACCGAAGGCUCUGUGUGCAAUGAAGGUGGAGUCCCAGAUUUGUGCAUGAGUGUUCAAACAAGCAGGAGGACAAGGUUUGAGUCUGAGCAUUCCUGACAGGACCCGAAAGAUGGUGAACUAUGCCCGGAAAGGGCCAAGUCAGGGGAAACUCUGGUGGAGGCUCGUAGCGUUACUGACGUGCAAAUCGUUCGUCACACCUGGGUAUGGGGGCGAAAGACUAAUCGAACCAUCUAGUAGCUGGUUCCCUCUGAAGUUUCCCUCAGGAUAGCUGAACUUGCAGGACUUUCACCAGGUAAAGCGAAUGAUUGGAGGAAUUGGGGGUUGCAGACCUUUGACCUAUUCUCAAACUUUUAAUGGGUGUGUUGUGUGGUUGCUUAGCUGAACCAACAGCUAAUGAUGACUCUUAGUGGGCCACUUUUGGUAAGCAGAACUGGCGAUGAGGGGUGAACCUGAUGAUGGGUUAAGGCACUGAAGUUCUUGCUCAUCAGAAACUGUAAAGGGUGUUGGCUCAUUCUGACAGCAGGUCGGUGGUCAUGGAAGUUGAAAUCCGCUUGGGAGUGUGUAACAACUCACCUGCCGAAUGGACUGGCCCCAAAAAUGGAUGGUGCUCCAGCAGGUGGCUGACACUUGUCAAGUGUGAAUUCUAACCACAAUGUGUAGGAGGGUAUGGUUGUUAGUGCCGAAACAUUGAG
This 1415-nucleotide ribosomal RNA is filed under the name Gambierdiscus jejuensis. Its description in RNAcentral is "partial large subunit ribosomal RNA". It matches the Rfam family "Eukaryotic large subunit ribosomal RNA", at positions 1 to 1415 of the family's 3401-position model. Lineage: Eukaryota; Dinophyceae; Gonyaulacales; Pyrocystaceae. The record is from RNAcentral.